This 497-nucleotide ribosomal RNA is filed under the name uncultured bacterium. RNAcentral describes it as "partial 16S ribosomal RNA". It matches the Rfam family "Bacterial small subunit ribosomal RNA", at positions 28 to 507 of the family's 1533-position model. The record is from RNAcentral.
GAUGAACGCUGGCGGCGUGCCUAAUACAUGCAAGUCGAGCGAACGGACGAGAAGCUUGCUUCUCUGAUGUUAGCGGCGGACGGGUGGGUAACACGUGGAUAACCUACCUAUAAGACUGGGAUAACUUCGGGAAACCGGAACUAAUACCGGAUGAUAUUUUGAACCGCAUGGUUCAAAAGUGAAAGACGGUCUUGCUGUCACUUAUAGAUGGAUCCGCGCUGCAUUAGCUAGUUGGUAAGGUAACGGCUUACCAAGGCAACGAUGCAUAGCCGACCUGAGAGGGUGAUCGGCCACACUGGAACUGAGACACGGUCCAGACUCCUACGGGAGGCAGCAGUAGGGAAUCUUCCGCAAUGGGCGAAAGCCUGACGGAGCAACGCCGCGUGAGUGAUGAAGGUCUUCGGAUCGUAAAACUCUGUUAUUAGGGAAGAACAUAUGUGUAAGUAACUGUGCACAUCUUGACGGUACCUAAUCAGAAAGCCACGGCUAACUACGUG